GCGACCGUAGCUCAGCUGGUUAGAGCACCGGUUUGUGGUACCGGAUGUCGCGGGUUCAAGUCCCGUCGGUCGCCCCA
Molecule: transfer RNA, 77 nt
Filed under: Sphingomonas sp.
Lineage: Bacteria; Pseudomonadati; Pseudomonadota; Alphaproteobacteria; Sphingomonadales; Sphingomonadaceae
Also listed under: 1 other name
Description: tRNA-His
Rfam family: tRNA
About the family: Transfer RNA (tRNA) molecules are approximately 80 nucleotides in length. Their secondary structure includes four short double-helical elements and three loops (D, anti-codon, and T loops). Further hydrogen bonds mediate the characteristic L-shaped molecular structure. tRNAs have two regions of fundamental functional importance: the anti-codon, which is responsible for specific mRNA codon recognition, and the 3' end, to which the tRNAs corresponding amino acid is attached (by aminoacyl-tRNA synthetases). tRNAs cope with the degeneracy of the genetic code in two manners: having more than one tRNA (with a specific anti-codon) for a particular amino acid; and 'wobble' base-pairing, i.e. permitting non-standard base-pairing at the 3rd anti-codon position.
Source: RNAcentral